GGGCGGGGGGCAGCGUGCGGAACAGGUUCUGGCGCAGCAUGAAGGAGAUGUCCUCAGACACCGCUUCAGUGAACUUGCCCGUCCCGCUGUUCGCGUAGUCCACCAGCUCCAGCAGGGUCUGCCGCUUCAUCUCUUUUUCCCGCACAUGCUUGCCCGGCUCCGUGAAGUCAAACGUGAAGCUGCACAUGUGCAGCUUUUGCACAAAUAAAUGCUGCUUCUCCGACGGGCUGACAUCGCGGAAGG
RNAcentral lists this long non-coding RNA (243 nucleotides) under Dunaliella salina. RNAcentral describes it as "long non-coding RNA (DSAL_LNC000090)". The record is from RNAcentral. Lineage: Eukaryota; Viridiplantae; Chlorophyta; Chlorophyceae; Chlamydomonadales; Dunaliellaceae.